AGCAAUUCUGAAUCAUCAGCUCAUGUCAUUUCUAAAGCCAAGUCCCCAUCCUUUGACUCAUCAAUUAUCAUAUAUUUUUACUCAUAGAUAUUCUCCCUAUCACUUUUUAAAGAUGCAAUUUAUGUCUACUUUCCAGUAAUCGUCAUAUUUUUAUCAAAGCUUUUAGCUACCAUUUGUUUUUGCCACCUAUGCACUUUUGGUGGUUUUACAGCAAGAAACUUCCAAAUAAUUUCUGGUGUCAUGGACUGCGUGGUUUCCCAUUGUUGCUCUAAUCUGCCCUUCUCACUUCAAACCUCUACUUCCUAAAAUGAGUCAAGGAUGGACUCUGAUGUUGUUGAAGGUGAGAAGCAGGGCAAAGAGAAACAGAAAAAAAGGGGAGCUGACUGAGACGUGAACGAGCUGGGGAAGUCCAGGUUGAACAUGCACUUAUGAGAGAGUGGUUAACCUGAGAUACAGGCAAGGUUGCAAUGGAGGAGGAGGAAGAGGAGAAAACCAGAAAGGAAAUGAGCAAAGAUCUAUGCAGUUGCAUCCUGUUGCCUUCUGUGUUUAUGAUUCUCAUGUUCGGCUGUUCCGCAAGCCGAAGGAAACGCAAUGCCAAAGCUGAAGUCAUCAGUUUUCUGUUAUUUUCUGUUUAAUACCUUAGUGUUUCAUCUAA
RNAcentral lists this long non-coding RNA (655 nucleotides) under Homo sapiens (human). Its description in RNAcentral is "HSALNT0206637". The record is from RNAcentral. Lineage: Eukaryota; Metazoa; Chordata; Mammalia; Primates; Hominidae.